GAGUGGUAGUUCAGUUGGUUAGAAUACCGGCCUGUCACGCCGGGGGUCGCGGGUUCGAGUCCCGUCCACU
Molecule: transfer RNA, 70 nt
Filed under: uncultured Thalassotalea sp.
Lineage: Bacteria; Pseudomonadati; Pseudomonadota; Gammaproteobacteria; Alteromonadales; Colwelliaceae
Rfam family: tRNA
About the family: Transfer RNA (tRNA) molecules are approximately 80 nucleotides in length. Their secondary structure includes four short double-helical elements and three loops (D, anti-codon, and T loops).
Source: RNAcentral